AGUUUGAUUAUGGCUCAGGAUGAACGCUGGCGGCGUGCCUAACACAUGCAAGUCGAGCGGAGUUAACAGAAGAUUCUUCGGAUGAUUUGUUAACUUAGCGGCGGAUGGGUGAGUAACACGUGGGUAAUCUGCCCUGCACAGGGGGAUAACAGCUGGAAACGGCUGUUAAUACCGCAUAUGCACACGUUAUCGCAUGAUAGAGUGUGGAAAGAUUUAUCGGUGCAGGAUGAGCCCGCGUCGGAUUAACUUGUUGGCAGGGUAACGGCCUACCAAGGUGAUGAUCCGUAGCCGGCCUGAGAGGGCGACCGGCCACAUUGGGACUGAGACACGGCCCAAACUCCUACGGGAGGCAGCAGUGGGGAAUAUUGCACAAUGGGCGCAAGCCUGAAUGCAGCGACGCCGCGUGAAGGAAGACGUAUUUCGGUAUGUAAACUUCUAUCAGCGGGGAAGAAGAUGACGGUACCCGACUAAGAAGCCCCGGCUAACUACGUGCCAGCAGCGGC
This 503-nucleotide ribosomal RNA is filed under the name uncultured bacterium. RNAcentral describes it as "bacterial SSU rRNA". It matches the Rfam family "Bacterial small subunit ribosomal RNA", at positions 10 to 518 of the family's 1533-position model. The record is from RNAcentral.